CGGGUACCGAUGGAUGUACGCUAAAUGCAGGGAGCAUGGACUGCGUGUGAGGAAAGAGGAUGUGCGGUUGUUGUUAAAAGAGCUCGAUCCAAGAGGAGUGUCAAGAAGGCUAGCAAGACGUCUCAGACGACGAAACUACUUCUCUAAAGGGCCGAACUUCAUAUGGCACAUUGACUCUUAUGAUAAACUUAAGCCAUAUGGCAUUUGUAUCAAUGGAAGUAUUGAUGGCUUCUCAAGGAAAAUGAUUUGGCUCAAUGCUUACACAACAAGCGGUGACCCAAGUUGAUCGGAGGGUAUUACAUAGAAGCAGUGCAGCGUUUGGGUGGCUGUCCCAGAGUUGUGCGCGGCGAUCUUGGAACCGAAAAUGGCUGCGUCCGAGGCUUUCAGCGUUUCCUCGUCCCCAUCCAGCCAGACUGCACCAUUGACAGUUACUUGGAGGGAGCCAGCACCGCCAAUCAAAGGAUUGAAUAUUGGUGGGGUUUUUUCCGUAGGGAGUGCGUGGAGUUCUGGUUAACUUUGUUUGCAGACCUCAGAGACAACGGUUUCUUUGAUGGUGGGUUUCUGGAUAAAGGUCUCCUUCAGUUUUGUUGCAUGGGACUCAUCCAGGAUGAGUUGGAUGACACGGCACAGGUUUGGAACACACACACUAUCAGGCCAUCGAAAAAUCCUAACAUCCCCAGCGGUCGGCCGAACGUGAUGUUUGCAGUACCUGAACUCUAUGGGACAAGAGACUUCCUUUCCCUAAUUGAAGAUGGUGAAUUUCAACUGUGCAAAAACGAAUGCAUCUUUCGCCAGACCAAACCGUGUGAUCCAGAUCUGUAUGAACUAUGCAACAUCUUUUUGGCUGAGUCCAAUCUCACCCUAGCAACAGAUCCAUAUCAGGCAGUGAACUUGUACAUGCACCUCAGAGAGGCCAUCAGGGCAUGUGUGUAGGUCAGACGUAUUUUGUGGUCACAUAUGUAAAUAAUUCACCUUGCUGUUCUUUUCCUUUUAUAAGUUUCUGGUCACAUAUGUAAAUAAUUCACCUUGCUGUUCUUUUCCUUUUAUAAGUUUCCUUUAAAGGUCCCAUGACAUGAAAAUCUCACUUUAUGAGGUUUUCUAACAUAAAUAUGAGUUCCCCUAGCCUGCCUAUGGUCCCCCAGUGGCUAAAACUUGCAUUUGGUGUAAAACGAGCACUAGCUGUUCUGCUCGCCUUUGAAAAAACGAGGCUCAAGCGCGCUGAUUUGGAAUUGCUCGUUUUACACCAAACGCAAGUUUUAGC
Gadus morhua (Atlantic cod) is the source of this 1261-nucleotide long non-coding RNA. The record is from Ensembl. NCBI's taxonomy places the organism in Eukaryota, Metazoa, Chordata, Actinopteri, Gadiformes, Gadidae.